CCCUUAGAUGUUCUGGGCCGCACGCGUGCUACACUGAACGGUUCAAUGGGUAAGGUAGUGCGAAAGCAUGACCUAAUCUCGAAAUCCGUUCGUGCUGGGGAUAGAAGCUUGCAAUUAUCCUUCUUGAACGAGGAAUACCUUGUAAGCGUGAGUCAUCAUCUCACGCUGAAUACGUCCCUGCCCUUUGUACACACCGCCCGUCGCUCCUACCGAUUGAGUGUUCCGGUGAGGCUUUGGGAGAAUGGCCUCAACAUGAGUUUACCGUGUUUUGCCGUUUGAACUUAGUCAAACCUUAUCACUUAGAGGAAGGAGAAGUCGUAACA
RNAcentral lists this ribosomal RNA (323 nucleotides) under uncultured eukaryote. Its description in RNAcentral is "partial 18S ribosomal RNA". It matches the Rfam family "Eukaryotic small subunit ribosomal RNA", at positions 1470 to 1796 of the family's 1831-position model. The record is from RNAcentral.